GGAUCUUUAGCUCAAAUGGUAGAGCACUUGAGAUUAACUCAAGAGACGGUGGUUCAAAUCCACCAAGAUUCU
This 72-nucleotide transfer RNA is filed under the name Thalictrum thalictroides. RNAcentral's name for it is "tRNA-OTHER". It matches the Rfam family "tRNA". Rfam says of the family: Transfer RNA (tRNA) molecules are approximately 80 nucleotides in length. Their secondary structure includes four short double-helical elements and three loops (D, anti-codon, and T loops). Lineage: Eukaryota; Viridiplantae; Streptophyta; Magnoliopsida; Ranunculales; Ranunculaceae. The record is from RNAcentral.